GAUGAAGAACGUAGUGAAAUGCGAUAAGUAAUGUGAAUUGCAGAAUUCAGUGAAUCAUCGAAUCUUUGAACGCACAUUGCGCCCAUUAGUAUUCUAGUGGGCAUGCCUGUUCGAGCGUCAUUAAGUCCACUUAAGCCCUGCUUAGUGUUGGGAGACUGCUCCAGCGGUGCUACCCUGUAGCUACCCUGCAGCUCCUCAAAGACAGCGGCGGAGUCGUGGUAUCCUCUGAGCUUAGUAACUUGUUCUAGCUUUCGAGUACACCACUUCCCCUGCCGUAAAACCCUUAAUUUUUAAUGGUUGACCUCGGAUCAGGUAGGAAUACCCGCUGAACUUAAGCAUAUCAAUAAGCGGAGGA
This 355-nucleotide unclassified non-coding RNA is filed under the name soil metagenome. RNAcentral's name for it is "partial contains 5.8S ribosomal RNA, internal transcribed spacer 2, and large subunit ribosomal RNA". The stretch from base 1 to 120 matches the Rfam family "5.8S ribosomal RNA", at positions 35 to 154 of the family's 154-position model. The record is from RNAcentral.